Molecule: ribosomal RNA, 550 nt
Filed under: uncultured bacterium
Lineage: Bacteria
Description: bacterial SSU rRNA
Rfam family: Bacterial small subunit ribosomal RNA
Source: RNAcentral
UAGGGAAUCUUCGGCAAUGGGGGCAACCCUGACCGAGCAACGCCGCGUGAGUGAAGAAGGUUUUCGGAUCGUAAAGCUCUGUUGUAAGUCAAGAACGAGUGUGAGAGUGGAAAGUUCACACUGUGACGGUAGCUUACCAGAAAGGGACGGCUAACUACGUGCCAGCAGCCGCGGUAAUACGUAGGUCCCGAGCGUUGUCCGGAUUUAUUGGGCGUAAAGCGAGCGCAGGCGGUUUGACAAGUCUGAAGUUAAAGGCUGUGGCUCAACCAUAGUUCGCUUUGGAAACUGUCAAACUUGAGUGCAGAAGGGGAGAAUGGAAUUCCAUGUGUAGCGGUGAAAUGCGUAGAUAUAUGGAGGAACACCGGUGGCGAAAGCGGCUCUCUGGUCUGUAACUGACGCUGAGGCUCGAAAGCGUGGGGAGCGAACAGGAUUAGAUACCCUGGUAGUCCACGCCGUAAACGAUGAGUGCUAGGUGUUGGAUCCUUUCCGGGAUUCAGUGCCGCAGCUAACGCAUUAAGCACUCCGCCUGGGGAGUACGACCGCAAGGUUG